AACCUGGUUGAUCCUGCCAGUAGUCAUAUGCUUGUCUCAAAGAUUAAGCCAUGCAUGUGUAAGCACACACUGUUUUAAAAGUGAAGCCGCGAAUGGCUCAUUACAACAGCCACAGUUUAUUAGAACUUACAAUCAUGGAUAACUGUGGUAAUUCUAGAGCUAAUACACGCACAAAAACUUCAACUGAAUUGGUUGAAGUGCUUUUAUUAGAACAAAAACCGAACGGCGUUUGACGAAUGUUGAACGUCGAAACUGUUUGGUGAAUCUGAAUAACUAUUUCUGAUCGCAUGGUCUAGCACCGGCGACAUCACUUUCAAGUGUCUGCCUUAUCAACCUUCGAUGGUAGUCUAUGCGACUACCAUGGUGAUAACGGGUAACGGAGAAUCAGGGUUCGACUCCGGAGAGGGAGCCUGAGAAACGGCUACCACAUCCAAGGAAGGCAGCGGGCGCGCAAAUUACCCACUCCCAGCUUGGGGAGGUAGUGACGAAAAAUAACGAGACGAUUCUCGUUUGAGAAACGUUAUCGAAAUGAGUACGCUUUACACACGCUAACGAGUAGCAAUUGGAGGGCAAGUCUGGUGCCAGCAGCCGCGGUAAUUCCAGCUCCAAUAGCGUAUAUUAAAGUUGCUGCGGUUAAAACGCUCGUAGUUGAAUUGUGGUCUUAGACAACAGUCCCCCUACAAAGGUGUGGCACGGUUGCUCGAGAUCUUCAUUCGUGGUUGCUGUUGUUGCUCUUCAUUGAGUGUCAAUGGUGCCUCGAGAUUUUACUUUGAAAAAAUUAGAGUGCUCAAAGCAGGUUGUGAUGCCUGAAUAAUGGUGCAUGGAAUAAUAGAAUACGAUCUCGGUUCUAUUUUGUUGGUUUUCGAACCGGAGGUAAUGAUUGAAAGGAACAGACGGGGGCAUUCGUAUUGCUGCGUUAGAGGUGAAAUUCUUGGAUCGCAGCAAGAUGAACAAUUGCGAAAGCAUUUGCCAAGAAUGUUUUCAUUAAUCAAGAACGAAAGCUAGAGGUUCGAAGGCGAUCAGAUACCGCCCUAGUUCUAACGGUAAACUAUGCCAACCAGCGAUUCGCCGAAGUUCAUUUAAGACUCGGCGAGCAGCUUCCGGGAAACCAAAGUGUUUCGGUUCCGGGGGAAGUAUGGUUGCAAAGCUGAAACUUAAAGGAAUUGACGGAAGGGCACCACCAGGAGUGGAGCCUGCGGCUUAAUUUGACUCAACACGGGAAAACCCACCCGGCCCGGACACUGGAAGGAUUGACAGAUUGACAGCUCUUUCUUGAUUCAGUGGGUAGUGGUGCAUGGCCGUUCUUAGUUGGUGGAGCGAUUUGUCUGGUUAAUUCCGAUAACGAACGAGACUCUACCCUAUUAAAUAGUGACAGUAUUGUAUUCUUUGUGCUGAUCACUUCUUAGAGGGACUGGCAAAUUGAAAGCUGCACGAAAAAGAGCAAUAACAGGUCUGUGAUGCCCUUCGAUGUCCGGGGCUGCACGCGCGCUACAAUGAAAGCGUCAACGUGAGUUACGUCCUUACCUGAAAAGGUUUGGCAAUCGAAUGAAACGUUUUCUUGAAUGGAAUAGGGAAUUGCAAUUGUUUCCCUUGAACGAGGAAUUCCCAGUAAGCGUGAGUCAUUAGCUCGCGUUGAUUACGUCCCUGCCCUUUGUACACACCGCCCGUCGCUACUACCGAUUGGAUGAUUUAGUGAGGUGUUUUGACUGGCGCCAGUAGUCGGAUAUGUAUUCGGCUUCGCGCCGGGAAAUUUCCCAAACCAAAUCAUCUAGAGGAAGUAAAAGUCGUAACAAGGUUUCCGUAGGUGAACCUGCGGAAGGAUCAUUA
This 1827-nucleotide ribosomal RNA is filed under the name Trichinella spiralis. RNAcentral's name for it is "SSU rRNA". It matches the Rfam family "Eukaryotic small subunit ribosomal RNA". Lineage: Eukaryota; Metazoa; Nematoda; Enoplea; Trichinellida; Trichinellidae. The record is from RNAcentral.